GCCCUGGUGCUGGAAUUGGCAGACAGGCACGGUUCAGAACCGUGUGUCCGAAAGGACGUGAGAGUUCAAGUCUCUCCCAGGGCA
Molecule: transfer RNA, 84 nt
Filed under: bacterium
Lineage: Bacteria
Description: tRNA-Leu
Rfam family: tRNA
About the family: Transfer RNA (tRNA) molecules are approximately 80 nucleotides in length. Their secondary structure includes four short double-helical elements and three loops (D, anti-codon, and T loops). Further hydrogen bonds mediate the characteristic L-shaped molecular structure. tRNAs have two regions of fundamental functional importance: the anti-codon, which is responsible for specific mRNA codon recognition, and the 3' end, to which the tRNAs corresponding amino acid is attached (by aminoacyl-tRNA synthetases). tRNAs cope with the degeneracy of the genetic code in two manners: having more than one tRNA (with a specific anti-codon) for a particular amino acid; and 'wobble' base-pairing, i.e. permitting non-standard base-pairing at the 3rd anti-codon position.
Source: RNAcentral